Long non-coding RNA from Eptesicus fuscus (big brown bat), 193 nucleotides. RefSeq lists it as uncharacterized. The transcript has 3 exons. NCBI's taxonomy places the organism in Eukaryota, Metazoa, Chordata, Mammalia, Chiroptera, Vespertilionidae. The record is from RefSeq and is a predicted model, not a curated record.
CUGAGGCAAGGGAAGAUGCUGCUCCUGCCGUAGAUGGUUGCUUACUUCAGGACCUAAAUAGUAGGCUGCAUAAAAGCUAUGGACACAUCCAUAGACAUAGUCCUAAUUCAGGCUCCUCUAUUUCUGUCCACACUUUAAAAUGUCAGUGUCUCCCUGGAUUCUGUUCUUGGCUCUCAUUUCUCAUCGAUCCUGG